UACGGAGGGUGCAAGCGUUAAUCGGAAUUACUGGGCGUAAAGCGCGCGUAGGCGGUUAGUUAAGUUAGAUGUGAAAGCCCCGGGCUCAACCUGGGAACUGCAUUUAAAACUGGCUAACUAGAGUAUGGUAGAGGAGAGUGGAAUUUCAGGUGUAGCGGUGAAAUGCGUAGAUAUCUGAAGGAACACCAGUGGCGAAGGCGGCUCUCUGGACCAACACUGACGCUGAGGUGCGAAAGCGUGGGUAGCAAACGGG
RNAcentral lists this ribosomal RNA (253 nucleotides) under uncultured bacterium. Its description in RNAcentral is "partial 16S ribosomal RNA". It matches the Rfam family "Bacterial small subunit ribosomal RNA", at positions 524 to 776 of the family's 1533-position model. The record is from RNAcentral.